RNAcentral lists this long non-coding RNA (635 nucleotides) under Brassica rapa (field mustard). RNAcentral describes it as "long non-coding RNA (BRAP_LNC000929)". Lineage: Eukaryota; Viridiplantae; Streptophyta; Magnoliopsida; Brassicales; Brassicaceae. The record is from RNAcentral.
GAAACAUCGAGACAAAACAACUCUUUAUAUUUCUCUAUUGAUAAUAAUAAAUUCAAAUAUAUUACUUCCAAACAGUAGAUUAAUUAGAAUUUCUUGUUGCCUUUUGGAGUAGCCUAUAGUUUACAUCAAGAACUCUAUUACCAUCAAAUGAAGAACCAUCAACGAUUAAAGCCGGUAAGAUCGGCUGCCACCAUUCGCUUCUAGAUCUGUCAAUCACCUUCUCUAAACGUUCAACUGAACCAAAGUUUUUAUCUUUCCAAAUCCAUCGAAGAAACACACAAAGGAAUAAUCAAAAACUAUGUUAGAUUUAAAAUAAAUUGACAAUCAAAUAAAUCAAAUGACUAGAAAGGAAAAAAAAAAGAAAAGCAAAACGAAUCAAACAAACCGAUAUUGUAGUUGUAGAAGCCUCCGGCCGAGCCCGCCCCAUGGCAUAGGCAAAGUGAUCACCCGUUUAGGGCCCAAAAUGUUUUGAGGUUUUUUAGUUUAAGAAAAAAGACCCAAAAUUUUUUUCAGGCUUUUUACCUUAAAAAAAAUGACCCAAAAUUUAAUUGAGUAGGGCCUCUAAUAAGAUUGGGCCGUCCCUGUCUCUGGCCAUCAGCUUGAAACUACAAAAAAAAAUCUCUAUUUUUCUCUCU